This 253-nucleotide ribosomal RNA is filed under the name uncultured bacterium. RNAcentral's name for it is "partial 16S ribosomal RNA". It matches the Rfam family "Bacterial small subunit ribosomal RNA", at positions 524 to 776 of the family's 1533-position model. The record is from RNAcentral.
UACGAAGGGGGCUAGCGUUGUUCGGAAUUACUGGGCGUAAAGCGCAUGUAGGCGGGUCGUUAAGUCGGGGGUGAAAGCCCAGAGCUCAACUCUGGAACUGCCUUCGAUACUGGCGACCUGGACCCAAGGAGAGGCGAGUGGAAUUGCGAGUGUAGAGGUGAAAUUCGUAGAUAUUCGCAGGAGCACCAGUGGCGAAGGCGACUCGCUGGACUUGUGGUGACGCUGAGAUGCGAAAGCGUGGGGAGCACACAGG